RNAcentral lists this ribosomal RNA (441 nucleotides) under uncultured bacterium. RNAcentral's name for it is "partial 16S ribosomal RNA". It matches the Rfam family "Bacterial small subunit ribosomal RNA", at positions 338 to 795 of the family's 1533-position model. The record is from RNAcentral.
CCUACGGGUGGCAGCAGUGGGGAAUAUUGCACAAUGAGCGAAAGCCUGAUGCAGCGACGCCGCGUGAAGGAUGACGGUCUUCGGAUUGUAAACUUCUGUUAUUAGGGAAGAACAUUUACGGUAGCAAAGGACCGAGCACCGGCGAAGUACGUGCAAGAAGCCGCGGUAAUACAUAUGGCGGCAGCGUCGGCCGGAAUUAGUGGGCGUAAAGGGAGCGCAGGCGGGAUGCCAAGUCAGCUGUGAAAACUACGGGCUUAACGUGUAGACUGCAGUUGAGACUGGUUUUCUGGAGUGAAGUAGAGGUUAGCGGAAUUCCGAGUGUAGCGGUGAAAUGCGUAGAUAUUCGGAGGAACACCGGUGGCGAAGGCGGCCAACUGGGCCUUAACUGACGCUGAGGCUCGAAAGCGUGGGGAGCAAACAGGAUUAGAUACCCGAGUAGUC